Molecule: ribosomal RNA, 478 nt
Filed under: uncultured bacterium
Lineage: Bacteria
Description: partial 16S ribosomal RNA
Rfam family: Bacterial small subunit ribosomal RNA
Source: RNAcentral
GAUGAACGCUGGCGGCGUGCCUAACACAUGCAAGUCGAACGGAGUCCAGCCUUUAAGACCUUCGGGUCAAAGAGGGGAAGACUGAGUGGCGGACGGGUGAGUAACACGUGGGCAACCUGGCUCAUAGAGGGGGAUAACAGAGAGAAAUUUCUGCUAAUACCGCAUAAGCACACACUGCCGCAUGGCAGAGGGUGAAAAGAGAAUCGCUAUGAGAUGGACCCGCGUCUGAUUAGCCAGUUGGCAGGGUAAGAGCCUACCAAAGCGACGAUCAGUAGCCGAUCUGAGAGGAUGAACGGACACAUUGGGACUGAGACACGGCCCAAACUCCUACGGGAGGCAGCAGUGGGGGAUAUUGCACAAUGGGGGGAACCCUGAUGCAGCGACGCCGCGUGAGUGAAGAAGUAUUUCGGUACGUAAAGCUCUAUCAGCAGGGAAGAUAAUGACAGUACCUGAAUAAGAAGCCCCGGCUAACUACGUG